GUGCAGAAGACUGUGUUGGAGACGAU
This 26-nucleotide small RNA is filed under the name Bombyx mori (domestic silkworm). Its description in RNAcentral is "piRNA piR-bmo-1651142". The record is from RNAcentral. Lineage: Eukaryota; Metazoa; Arthropoda; Insecta; Lepidoptera; Bombycidae.